Molecule: small nucleolar RNA, 104 nt
Filed under: Loxodonta africana (African savanna elephant)
Lineage: Eukaryota; Metazoa; Chordata; Mammalia; Proboscidea; Elephantidae
Description: Small nucleolar RNA SNORA4 (ENSLAFG00000033257.1)
Source: RNAcentral
CUACCAAAAGAUGAUUUUAGAGGGAAGGUUUUUAGCAGCUUUUGCCAGCCCAAGUCAUGUGGGAUUAUAAAGACCGCAUUCCACUGAGGAAUGUGAGCUAUAUC